UACCUUGAUCCUGGCUCAGGAUGAACGCUAGCGGCAGGCCUAAUACAUGCAAGUCGAACGGGUGGUCGCAAGACUACUAGUGGCGCACGGGUGCGUAACGCGUAACCAACCUACCCACCACUGGGGGAUAGCCCGCCGAAAGGCGGAUUAAUACCGCAUAAGACUACAGAGGGGCAUCUCUUCGUAGUUAAAGAUUUAUUGGUGGUGGAUGGGGUUGCGUAGCAUUAGCUAGAUGGCGGGGUAACGGCCCACCAUGGCGACUAUGCUUAGGGGACCUGAGAGGGUGAUCCCCCACACUGGCACUGAGAUACGGGCCAGACUCCUACGGGAGGCAGCAGUAGGGAAUAUUGGGCAAUGGCCGAGAGGCUGACCCAGCCAUGCCGCGUGCCGGAUGAAGGCCUUCUGGGUUGUAAACGGCUUUUCUCAGGAAAGAAAAAGGUCUUGCGAGACAAACUGACGGUACCUGAGGAAUAAGCACCGGCUAACUCCGUGCCAGCAGCCGCGGUAAUACGGAGGGUGCAAGCGUUGUCCGGAUUUAUUGGGUUUAAAGGGUGCGUAGGUGGCCGGGUAAGUCCGGGGUGAAAGCCCACAGCUCAACUGUGGAACUGCCCUGGAUACUGCCCGGCUUGAGAGUCGUCGAGGGUGGCGGAAUGGACGGUGUAGCGGUGAAAUGCAUAG
Molecule: ribosomal RNA, 678 nt
Filed under: uncultured bacterium
Lineage: Bacteria
Description: bacterial SSU rRNA
Rfam family: Bacterial small subunit ribosomal RNA
Source: RNAcentral